Cyanistes caeruleus (blue tit) is the source of this 749-nucleotide non-coding RNA. NCBI's taxonomy places the organism in Eukaryota, Metazoa, Chordata, Aves, Passeriformes, Paridae. The record is from RefSeq and is a predicted model, not a curated record.
CUGAACAGCAUCGUGCAUUACUUGGUGGAAUAACAUCAACUCUGACCCUAAUUUUGGCUGCUUAUCUGGUUCCCAGAAGGCUUCAGUGCUCAGAGACAAAAUCAUCUGAGGCUGGUGCUGUCUUGGGGGAAGCAAAUGCUGCAAAGAGAGGAGUUGUUUCUCACUCUGGAACUAAAACAUUUCCGAAAUCAAACUGCUGCCUAGCUUAUCAGGGUGUAAACACGUUCUCCUGUGGGAACAGGAAUUGCAGGCCAGUCUGAGCUGAAUCUUGCUGCCUCUCUUCAUAUCAGUCUGCUGGAAUUUCUCAGACACUGGAGGAUUUCCAGCCAGGAGCCAGCCUGUCUGUGAGAGAAGCAUCUGAAUGGAUGAGAAGGUGCCAGCACUGUUGUAGGUGGCUCUUUGAAGUCUGCUCAUUCUCUUCAGCCAGGACACCCCAAAAUACAGCCUGGAAGAGGAGGACAGGGAGCUGGAAUUACAGGAGUUGUAAUUCCAGCUGGAUUCUGCAGGAACAGGAGCUGCAGCCUGGCAGACACAAAUCUGUCGUGGUGGACAGCUCUGAACUGCAGCUCUCAAAGUGGCAAAUAAUGGUUGGGUUUGGUCAUUUUGGUGUGUGAAAGUUGUUUCUGCUCACUGGGGUAAGAGGCAGCAACAGGACUAAAAGAUAUUUCUUAUAGUUCUGCAGCCUCAGGUGAAGAAUGAGGAAAGGGGAGUAUGGGUGGGCUGUCUACAAAAUAAAUACAAUAUAAAUA